GACGAACGCUGGCGGCGUGCCUAACACAUGCAAGUCGCACGGGGUAGCAAUACCCAGUGGCGAACGGGUGCGUAACACGUGAGGAAUAUGACUUCCGGUGGGGGAUAGCCGGCCCAACGGCCGGGUAAUACCGCAUACGCUGCGCGAGGGGCAUCCCUUGCGUCGGAAAGCAGCAAUGCGCCGGAAAGGUACCUCGCGGCCUAUCAGCUAGUUGGUGAGGUAAUGGCUCACCAAGGCGACGACGGGUAGCUGGUCUGAGAGGAUGACCAGCCACACUGGGACUGAGACACGGCCCAGACUCCUACGGGAGGCAGCAGUGGGGAAUAUUGGACAAUGGGCGAAAGCCUGAUCCAGCAAUGCCGCGUGAGUGAUGAAGGCCUUAGGGUUGUAAAGCUCUUUUACCAGGGAUGAUAAUGACAGUACCUGGAGAAUAAGCUCCGGCUAACUCCGUGCCAGCCGCCGCGGUAA
This 468-nucleotide ribosomal RNA is filed under the name uncultured bacterium. Its description in RNAcentral is "partial 16S ribosomal RNA". It matches the Rfam family "Bacterial small subunit ribosomal RNA", at positions 28 to 523 of the family's 1533-position model. The record is from RNAcentral.